This 264-nucleotide non-coding RNA is filed under the name Pan troglodytes (chimpanzee). RNAcentral also lists the same sequence under 1 other name. The record is from RNAcentral. Lineage: Eukaryota; Metazoa; Chordata; Mammalia; Primates; Hominidae.
AGACUUCAGAAGAACUGACCCAAGGACAAAGGUCCACCCAGGCCAUGGAAGAGGCUCCUCAACCGUUUGGGUGCCUGGCUACUUCAAGAGUUGAGCUAAUCACAGGGAAGAUUCAGUCUCAGUUCAGCUGCCUCAUUUGAUCAGCUCAAGACUGAGUCCAACAAAAGUGGUCUGUCUAAUGAAACUCAUUUUCAUUUUUUCUCAUUAGUCUAUACACGAUUGAGACUGUAGAACGACAAAAGAAUAAAAAGAAGAAUGACAAUU